UACGGAGGGUGCAAACGUUGCUCGGAAUCAUUGGGCGUAAAGCGCACGUAGGCGGCCGCGUAAGUCGAGUGUGAAAGCCCGGGGCUCAACCCCGGAAGUGCGCUCGAAACUGCGUGGCUUGAGUACGGGAGAGGGUGGCGGAAUUCCCGGUGUAGAGGUGAAAUUCGUAGAUAUCGGGAGGAACACCAGUGGCGAAGGCGGCCACCUGGAUCGAUACUGACGCUGAGGUGCGAAAGCGUGGGUAGCAAACAGG
This 253-nucleotide ribosomal RNA is filed under the name uncultured bacterium. RNAcentral describes it as "partial 16S ribosomal RNA". It matches the Rfam family "Bacterial small subunit ribosomal RNA", at positions 524 to 776 of the family's 1533-position model. The record is from RNAcentral.